AAUAUUGGACAAUGGGGGCAACCCUGAUCCAGCCAUGCCGCGUGUGUGAAGAAGGUCUUCGGAUUGUAAGGCACUUUAAGUUGGGAGGAAGGGCUUUAGGCUAAUACCCUGAAGUUUUGACGUUACCAACAGAAUAAGCACCGGCUAACUCUGUGCCAGCAGCCGCGGUAAUACAGAGGGUGCAAGCGUUAAUCGGAAUUACUGGGCGUAAAGCGCGCGUAGGGGGGUCAGGAAGAUGGGUGGUAAAUCCCCGGGCGUUAACUGGGAACUGCUUUCAUAACUGCUUAGGUAGAGUACGGUAGAGGGUAGUGGAAUUUCCUGUGUAGCGGUGAAAUGCGUAGAUAUAGGAAGGAACACCAGUGGCGAAGGCGACUACCUGGACUGAUACUGACACUGAGGUGCGAAAGCGUGGGGAGCAAACA
Molecule: ribosomal RNA, 422 nt
Filed under: uncultured bacterium
Lineage: Bacteria
Description: partial 16S ribosomal RNA
Rfam family: Bacterial small subunit ribosomal RNA
Source: RNAcentral